Molecule: small nucleolar RNA, 95 nt
Organism: Lathyrus oleraceus (garden pea)
Lineage: Eukaryota; Viridiplantae; Streptophyta; Magnoliopsida; Fabales; Fabaceae
Source: RefSeq, a predicted model, not a curated record
UUGAAGGCAAUGAUGUUCUAAACUACCUAUUUUAUGAAGGUGUAGAAAAUUCCUUUGUGAUUAGAAAAUUACCAAUGGAUCCUUCUGAGCCUUCA